CGAUUCAAAAAUUCUGCGUCCUUCGUCCACAAACCCUGCAUGACUGCAAGCACAAAGAACUCCAAUGAAGGUUGUUCCAUCAGGUUUUACGCCAUUUUCCCCCACAUCAUCACUAAGCAUAUCUUUAAACAGAUCAAGAGCUUCCUUCCCAAGACCUUGUUUUGCAAAAGCCAUGAUGAUGA
Cicer arietinum (chickpea) is the source of this 182-nucleotide non-coding RNA. Lineage: Eukaryota; Viridiplantae; Streptophyta; Magnoliopsida; Fabales; Fabaceae. The record is from RefSeq and is a predicted model, not a curated record.